CACGAGAUCAGGAGCUGGAAGGAAACUCCGAGAUUAUUUAGUCCAACUCCCUCAUUUCAGACUUGUGGAAAGUGAGGCCUUGAGAGGGAACAGUGUCUCGUCCAAGGUCACUCAGGGAGUAAGGAGCGAGGCUGAAAGCAGAAGACGCCCUACGGAGGGGAAAAGAGUCCUGGCUCAGGAGUUAAAGGAUAUGAAUUCGAAUCCUGACUUCGGUUUCAUCAGAGAUGUCACAGAGUCAGAGCAGUGCUGGAAGACACCUUAUGAGGAGGAAUCUGAGGAUCAGAGAGCUGAAGCAGGAUGUAAGGUGAGAGAAGAGAGACAGACAGGGCUCAAGGGACUUGCCCAGGUAAUAAGAGUCCAAUUCAGACUCCCGUCUUCCUCCUUUGAGGUCCGGAGCUCUAACCACGGAAUCCGGCGGCUCGCCUCGAGGCAAACAUCAGGUCCGUCUAAGGAUUUUUGAACAAAUAGCACUCAAGUGGGAUGAGCUUUACUAGAAGGUCAUCUUAUUUUAAAUUUAAUGAUCAAAUAUUAAUUAUUGAAAUAAUUAAAUUAAUUUAAAAGUGUGAGUAAAAAACGAAUUAUUCAUAAUUCAUGGAUUCGCCGUCCACAGAAGUCUGGAAGCAGAGUCCCGGGGAGCUCUUCUCAGGGACCUUGGAGAGGGAUCUCCUGGUCAGGUAGAGGUUGGCGUCCACCUCAGGCCCGCCCCAAAUGGGUUUCCUUCCACACCUCGCCUUCUCUGUCCCACCUGGUGAUAGGUACCUCCCUGCCAGGACCGGGGAAAGAUGGUGACUGACGCGCACGUUUGCCUUCCGGUCCCUUCGCACUCAGCUGCAUCCUUGUAUAUAGACACCCUAUAUAACCCC
RNAcentral lists this long non-coding RNA (863 nucleotides) under Monodelphis domestica (gray short-tailed opossum). RNAcentral describes it as "lncRNA (ENSMODG00000033360.2)". Lineage: Eukaryota; Metazoa; Chordata; Mammalia; Didelphimorphia; Didelphidae. The record is from RNAcentral.